UCCGCCUUGAUCUGGUCGAUCUUGAACGCGUGGGAGGGGAGGCCGAUGCGGUAGAUGUACCGUGCCGGGGCCUUCUUGUCGUCGCCCUCGGAGUCCUUGUCGCCCUCCCCCUUGAUCACCAGGUUGUUCUUCUCCGCCCGCAUCUUCACGUGCUCCUUCGCCAGCCCCGGCAUCGCCACCUUCAGCUGCACCGCGUCGGCAUCCUCCUUGGAGAUCCACCACCCGCCCGGGGAGAAGCCGGUCAAGGGCGCCGCGCCGCCGCCGUCCUCCGCCAGCGCCAGCAGCAGGUCCCGCAUCGCAGCCUCCGGGAACAGGUCCAGCCCGCCUGCAGAAAACCUCAAAUCAUCAGUACUCUCUCUCCCCCUCUUUCGCUUCGCUAGCCAUGGUUCGAGAAAGUAACGGUGAGGGAAAACGGGGAUGGAGGAGUCGCGCUCACGGGUGCGGUCGGCGGCGGCGGCGUCCUCGCCGGUGGAUUCCUUGACGCCGUCGGAGGAGGAGCGUGGCGGCGCCUCUCCGUUGCUGAAGAGGUGGCGGUCGGAGGCGACGGUGUUCCCGGAGGCGGACGGUGAGGCGAGGAUGUCCAUGAGGAAGACGGGCUUCGGUACGGCCACCUGGGAAGCGACGGCGGAAGCCAUGGAUGGAUCCCUCUCUCUCUAGUCUCUGCCUCUUCUCUGCGAUUGGGGUUUUGGUUUUGGACUGUUGCGGUGCGCUGCGAGAGAAAUGCCUUGACAGCGACGGAAGUGUGUGUGGGGGUUUAAAUGCUGGGGGCUUUUCUUGGGGGAGGGGAUGGGCAAGGGGCCAGAAGGUUCCACAUGGCGCAUCGGGCGCCAUCGACGGUCCCAGUUGGCCCGGGCUCCUGCUUUGCGAUUCGUGCUGUCCACUGUGACCAAGUACCUGUUCCGGUGGGCUUUGCACUUUCGGGUCAGCGAGAUGAAGGGAAUGUGUGAGUGGGCUGGGGCUGAGAGUUCCAGUUGAUGAGGGAGGAGGGGGGGGUGGGGGGGGGGGGGGGUAUGCCAUUUUAUUGUUUGAUUUUGAUAGGGUAUGGGAACCUGUUGCAAACGUGGUGGAACUGGAGUUUAGAUUCAAAUUACUAACAGAUAAAUGAAAUAUGAAUGUUGGCUUUUGAUUUUAAAUGCUUAGUGCAUAAAUACAAUAUUCGGUGGACAAAAAUUAGAAUAGUGAAACAGGAUAAUAGAUGUUUAGAACUUGUUCACGGAAAUCAAUCCAUUUACACCAAGGUAACUGGUUACGAGAAGCAAUGAAGCAAUGCAAGUUGAUACAAAGUUUGUUUUGUUACCAUUUUAAGCUCUCAUGGCUAUAAAAGGCCAUGAACCCCUGCUCACUUCUACUGUUUGAAUGAUUGUUAUAGGAUCGCCAAUUAAUUCCGGGCUCAACUCGUCAACCUCUUGAUCAGUGGUGGAUCUAUGAUUUCAAUCAUGAGGGUACAUACAAAAAUGAUAUAGUUCAUCAACAUCAGCAUGACAUAAUUAGAUCACUAAACUUUGAUAAAAUAGUAACGGGUGUAGAGUGUUGGGUUGUUGUAUGGGUUGAGUAAACAAGCAAUUGUAUUUAACAAUGUAUAUAUGUACAAGAUACGAAAUUGUAUAUAUACUUGGUGUUUCUCCAGAAUUUUUGGGGCAUGCACCUGCUGUAGAUCCGCCCCUGUUGUUGAUACACCAGACUGCAUUAUUGAGGAGAAGAUUAAGGAAUCUGGUUUAGGCCUCGUUCAUUUACAGUCGUUCCGGCCAAUGGCCUAUACAAAUUACAAUAGCGUUCCUGUCUGAAGUAUUUCCGAGGCUUCAUUCCCCUUCAAACGAACAGCCCCUUAGGAAGGAAAAGGAUUUCUAGAGAAAAAAACGAUAGUUCAAGCAAAGUUGAAUAGAGGGAUGAAAAACAGAAUAAUCAACAUAGGAACAUUACUUGCUUUAUCUUAAAAAAGGAACAUUACUUGCAGGGAAGAAGCAGGGUGCUCUUCUUUUUUAAAAAAAGUGGGAAGUUUUUUUUUAAAAUAUAAGCACAGUACAGAGAUUGUGCGGAAUAUCCCCGGCCCCAAUUGAAAUUUUGCAAAGCAGUCUAGUGCACUGUGGAUGGUGUACUAAAGACUCACAAAAGUAAAGGCAAGAGUCUAGAGUCGAAGCCUGUCUUGCCAACUUUGCUAGUCUAUCAGGGUGCUCUUGGAAGGCUGGUGCAAGAUCAAUAUUACACAUACUGUCAGACAAGACUUGGUAACAGAGGCGGAGUCGUUGGUUAACAUUUAGCCUGUUUCGAAUUUCACUCUGCAGCCCCCUAUGACUUAUUUUUUGUAUUUGAAGAGGCGCAAUUACAUAGCACAGCUAAUACAUAGUGUUCAAAUGGUGCUAGAGGCCUCUUUCGCCCCCAAACGCCCAAAUUCAAAUUUUGAACACAGGACCUACAGAGAGAAAAAGGUGUCUAGAAAAAAUUCCAUACCUGUCUUCAUGAACCGUUUGGAGAUAUGAAAAAAAAGUAGCAGUUAUAAACUAACAAGGGCCAUGGAGUUGCUUAGUAAAUUGGUUGGAAAAACAAUCAGAAACUAGAAUAUCUUUGGUAGGAAUCGAAGUUAUAUAAACUAAUAAGAAGUGGAGUAACUGUGGACCUAUGGUACUGGUAGGAACAGAAGUGCUGAAGGGGGUUUGCGCAUUACACUCAGACACACAUUUUAAUUUUCACAAGAAAUGGUAAGCAACUGUAACAGGUUUAAAAAUUACACACCCUGAAUUCUAUUUGGGGGUGUUUUGUUCAGCUACUAUGGUGAGAGCCAUAAUACUGUCGAAUUAGUAGAAGUCGAGACCACAAUGGCAAGUGGCUCUCAGUCAUCAACUCUUGGAUGUACUAGCUGCCAGGAAAAGCUUCUCUCGAAUUAGUAGAAUAAGCUUUUUAAUCGAAGUGCAGAUAACCCUGCAAACAAAAUGUUUCAUAUUUUAAGAUGGCUGCCGCUAUUUAUUUACAAUUCAGGAGAAAAUUUCAGCACUACUAUAUUCAUACAAUGACCAUCUUAAAAAACAUACAGCACAAUAGAAAAUUUAGUUGAAUUGCAGCACCUUCGAAUGUAACCAAAAUAAAUAAACACAACUUCAUACAUCAUGCGGAAAUGCAACAGUCGACAAGAGUACAAGAACAGACACCAGAAAUAUGAAAUACAUCUCGAUCAACGAUCAACACUUCAUAAAAAAAACUUGGGUAUUUCACUAGUAGUACCCCAAGUUCAGAAACCAGAUUAUCAGUCAUCAAGUUCAGAAAUGACGUCUCACAAAGAUCAUCAGUUCAGAUCGCCAACAAUAAAGACAAAAAAACAGUAGAGUAAUACAGAAGAACAGGAUCACAGGGAAGCUCAUACAGAUGUCUAUCUUUAACUGCAGAUUCCAUUACCAUUUGAAGUUCAUCACGCGAGAUCAUCAGUGAUCAUCGCCAUACAUGAAACUAAACUUUGCAAGACGAACAGAAAGGUAAACACGGCUGCCUCACAUCAGGAACGAGACGCUAAAAAGCCAAAGCCCUCCCGUUCUGCUGCUCUGCAUCAGAAACGACUACUACUCUAGUAUACUGCAACUACGAUAUGGACUGCAACUACGAUAUGGACUGCAACCAGGAGACCUACUCGACCUUGAUCUCGAACACGUCCUUGCGCUCCCCGUCCUUGAUCUUGGGCACGGUCACCAUGAGCACGCCGUUCUUCAUCUCCGCCUUGAUCUGGUCCACCUUGAAAGCGUGGGAGGGGAGGUCGAUGCGGCAGAUGUACCCUGCCGGGUCCUUCUUGUCGUCGCCCUCGGAGUCCUUGUCGCCCUCCCCCUUGAUCACCAGGGUGUCCUUCUCCACUCGCAUCUUCACGUGCUCCUUCCCCAGCCCCGGCAUCGCCACCUUCAGCUGCACCGCGUCGGCAUCAUCCUUGGAGACCCACGACGACCCGCGCGGGGAGAAGCCGGUC
RNAcentral lists this long non-coding RNA (3943 nucleotides) under Sorghum bicolor (sorghum). RNAcentral describes it as "long non-coding RNA (SBIC_LNC016974)". Lineage: Eukaryota; Viridiplantae; Streptophyta; Magnoliopsida; Poales; Poaceae. The record is from RNAcentral.